RNAcentral lists this long non-coding RNA (750 nucleotides) under Spirodela polyrhiza (greater duckweed). Its description in RNAcentral is "long non-coding RNA (SPOL_LNC000181)". The record is from RNAcentral. Lineage: Eukaryota; Viridiplantae; Streptophyta; Magnoliopsida; Alismatales; Araceae.
UCAAAUCUCCGGCAAUUUUCCAGUCGCAUGGCGGCCCCGCGGGCGGCAGUCGCUCUCCGGCGUGGGACCGACCGACCAGUCCAGGAAACGAAAUUGUUGACUCCGCCGGAUAGCACGUUCUCAAGGCGUCAGGUCGAUUUCGAGGCCACGCUAAGCUCCCCUCUCUUCGGACAUUAAACCAUCGUAAUCCGAAACAGUCGACGGUUUUCCCAUUAACAGGAAGUGGUUUUAUCAUUGCCCGGGUAUACUUUCGCAUCAGAGCUCGAGUAAGACGGGGAAAAAGCCAUGAUUUGUGAUGGGCGUUUUUCUUCUACAAAUUCUGAUCACAUCAUUCUUAUUUUCUUCCACCGUACAGUGCUUUGAUGUAUUGUUAAGUCUUUUAGUCUCAUGGUUCCUCUAAUCCGUGAGAUAACUGCUGUGCAUCUAUCUCUAGGGACAACAAAACCCUAUGUAGGAUAAUUGCUGCGGAUCUCGGUCGAGACAACGCAACCCGGUCUGUGAUAAGAUCUGUGCAUUUCGGUCAAGAAUUUAUCAUCAUCUCAUAUGAGAUAAUAUUUGACCACACCUCUGUCUUUUGCUUCUCUCUCUCUCCCGCUGUCCUCUCUCCCUCUGCCUCUCUCUCUCACUGUCUGUCUCUCUCCUCUCUCCAUCUGUCUCUCUCCUCUCUCCAUCUGUCUGUCUCUCUCUCUCUCUCUCAGUUUUCUUCCUCUUUUCCUCUCUCCUCUUUCUCGGCCCCUCAGCUCACCUUUN